AUGGGGCGGGGGUCUGAAAGCGUCCCCGAGGACAUCAGAGCUGGAGGGAAGGGAGCAGGGGGGCCGGGAGGGAGCAGGCAGCGAGCAAAGCCCGAGGAGCAGCGGGAGGAGGCUGCAGGAGGAUGCACUGCCCGGCAUCCCCCCUCGCCUGCCAGCAUCCCUGCAUCCCUCCCACGGCAGCAUCAAUCCUCCCUCCUGCAGCUGCCUGCGCCUGCAGAGGCCUCUGCUUCCUCCUCCCCCUCCUCCUCCUCCCCCUCCUGCUGCUGCCUCAUUGCCCAGCCACAAAUUAAGGGAGCGGUGCCUUACCUUGGCUGCACGGGCUCCUUGGGGCCCUGGGCCAGGGGAGCUGCGGUGUCACGGCGUUCUGGCAGCAGGGACUGCACAGGCUGGCAGAGCUGCAGCAGGGACAGCGCACAGCCAGGGACAGUGCACAGGCUGGCAGAGCUGCAGAAGGGACACUGCACAGGCUGGCAGAGCUGCAGCAGGGACAAUGUCAGGCUGGCAGGGGUGCAGCAGGGACUGCUCCAGGCUGACAGAUGGGGCGGGGGUCUGAAAGCGUCCCCGAGGACAUCAGAGCUGGAGGGAAGGGAGCAGGGGGGCCGGGAGGGAGCAGGCAGCGAGCAAAGCCCGAGGAGCAGCGGGAGGAGGCUGCAGGAGGAUGCACUGCCCGGCAUCCCCCCUCGCCUGCCAGCAUCCCUGCAUCCCUCCCACGGCAGCAUCAAUCCUCCCUCCUGCAGCUGCCUGCGCCUGCAGAGGCCUCUGCUUCCUCCUCCCCCUCCUCCUCCUCCCCCUCCUGCUGCUGCCUCAUUGCCCAGCCACAAAUUAAGGGAGCGGUGCCUUACCUUGGCUGCACGGGCUCCUUGGGGCCCUGGGCCAGGGGAGCUGCGGUGUCACGGCGUUCUGGCAGCAGGGACUGCACAGGCUGGCAGAGCUGCAGCAGGGACAAUGUCAGGCUGGCAGAGCUGCAGCAGGGACAAUGUCAGGCUGGCAGGGGUGCAGCAGGCAGGGGUGCAGCGGGUUGGGGUGCAGCAGGCAGGGGUGCAGCAAGCAGGGGUGCAGCAGGGACAGUGUCAGGCUGGCAGGGGUGCAGCAGGAUGGGAUGCAGCAGGCAGGGGUGCAGCAGGGACAAUGUCAGGCUGGCAGGGAUGCAGAAGGCAGGGGUUGGGAUGCAGCAGGCAGGGGUGCAGCAGGUUGAGGUGCAGCAGGAUGGGGUGCAGCAGGCAGGGGUUGGGAAGCAGCAGGCAGAGGUGCAGCAGGUUGCAGCCACAGGCACGGCUCGGAGCAGGCUGGGAGCGGCAUCGCUGCCUGGGACACGCGCGGAGCUCCCCGGCAGUAGAAGCCGGUGCAGCUCCCUGCUGUCACCCUGCGUGCAGCACAGCCCUGCUGCCAGCACAGCUGCCUCUGAUCCAUUUAUUUGUUCGCCUUUUCCCCCCAUCGUGUGCAUCUGCUUUGGUGCUGGCGGGGCGGCGGGGAGAGCCCAGGGCAGAUCCGAACCUGCUCCGGUGCCAUUCACCGCCUGUGGGCCGAAUGCAGAGUCCAGGCUGCUCAGCUGGGCCCCUGCGGAGCGGGGCUAGUGAGAGCCCCUCCUCGUCUGUCCCCCAAAACAGAGCCGGGCUUAGAACCCAGAGAAUCCUCCCAGCGCAGCCGGGCACUCUCCUGCACAGCCAGGCAAGGCUCGGCAGUGAGAGCCAGAGGAAAAACAGAGUUCCCAGUUUGUUUACUACCUCUUGGCACACAUCCACGCCCGGCUUUUCCUAUCGCACUGGCGGCUCUGCAGCCCGGCCGAGCAGGGUGAGCUCAGCGGGACGGUCCCGGGUCCCUGCCCGGCUGGGGGCUGAGCGUGGAGCUGCUGCCCUGCAGGGAUUUAAUUCCUCGUCUGGCAGUUCAGGAGCGUGCCUGUGCCGUGCCGGGGCGGGAUAA
This 1920-nucleotide long non-coding RNA is filed under the name Ficedula albicollis (Collared flycatcher). Its description in RNAcentral is "lncRNA (ENSFALG00000023865.1)". Lineage: Eukaryota; Metazoa; Chordata; Aves; Passeriformes; Muscicapidae. The record is from RNAcentral.